RNAcentral lists this unclassified non-coding RNA (89 nucleotides) under Pseudomonas mediterranea. The record is from RNAcentral. Lineage: Bacteria; Pseudomonadati; Pseudomonadota; Gammaproteobacteria; Pseudomonadales; Pseudomonadaceae.
UGUUGGAGCGAGCCUGCUCGCGAUAGCGGUAUGUCUGCCACAGCAGAGGUGGCUGAUCUGGCGCUAUCGCGAGCAGGCUCGCUCCCACA